This 507-nucleotide ribosomal RNA is filed under the name uncultured Entrophospora. RNAcentral describes it as "SSU rRNA". It matches the Rfam family "Eukaryotic small subunit ribosomal RNA", at positions 569 to 1074 of the family's 1831-position model. Lineage: Eukaryota; Fungi; Glomeromycota; Glomeromycetes; Entrophosporales; Entrophosporaceae. The record is from RNAcentral.
AGCAGCCGCGGUAAUUCCAGCUCCAAUAGCGUAUAUUAAAGUUGUUGCAGUUAAAAAGCUCGUAGUUGAAUUUCGGGAUUGACGUGAUGGUCGUGCCUUAAGGGGUAUGAACUGUCGCUGUUGAUUUCUCACCUUCUGGAGAAACUUGAUGUCCUUAAUUGGGUGUCUUGCGGAUCCAGGACCUUUACCUUGAAAAAUUAGAGUGUUUAAAGCAGGCAUUUUUGCUCGAAUACAUUAGCAUGGAAUAAUAGAAUAGGACGGCAUGGUUCUAUUUUGUUGGUUUCUAGGAUCACCGUAAUGAUUAAUAGGGAUAGUUGGGGGCAUUAGUAUUCAAUUGUCAGAGGUGAAAUUCUUGGAUUUAUUGAAGACUAACUACUGCGAAAGCAUUUGCCAAGGAUGUUUUCAUUAAUCAAGAACGAAAGUUAGGGGAUCGAAGACGAUCAGAUACCGUCGUAGUCUUAACCAUAAACUAUGCCGACUAGGAAUCAGACGAUGUUAAUUUUUAAU